GCCAUUUAAUUCAUAACGGUUGAUUAUUGAAUGAUAUUAUUUCAAUUGAAUACCUUAUUCAUGUGUGCAAUUAACCUCAAUGAGAAUAAUUAUUCUCUUCCUCUAAUCAAUUUCACGUCUUCAUAUUAAUCUCAUACAGCUCUUCCUCAUAGAAUACGAUAAAACUUGCAAUAGAGCAUAAAUAAGUCCUAAUCACCCAUACCUCACACGCUAUUCUCAACAUUAUAUUUUGUUUAUCUCAAAUAUUUUCUAAGUCACUCAAACAACCACCCACAUAUUCCCUCUCUUUCUUGUGGAAGUUCUAAGCCUUCGUUCCUUCGUCUUUAUGAAAUUUUUCGAGGGCUAUAUAGUGUUACGUGGAAGGAAAACGUUCAAGGUAAGGGCUUUUUCCUAUACAGAGUGAGGCUAGAAAUUAAAUUAGCAGUUCGUAGGAUAUUGAUAUGAUGUCUGGAUGACUUAAAAGAAAAAUGUUGAUUUUAUUUUCGUCAUAAAGAAAUUAACUAUAAUGUUUUGGUUUUUUCUUUUGAGUAAUACAUCUAUUUUGAUGAACUUAAUUAUAGAGUUCAAUUUUUAUUAUUAUCCCUUGAUAAAUAUGUUUGUAGUGAUAAUUUUUAACGUCUUACGUGUUUUAGAGUACUUAAUUAUAAAGUUAUAGUUUUUAUGAUGAUAUCAUUAGUAAUAUGUUUGUUAUGAUGUAUUUGAUAUUAAGUAUUGACUUUUUGAGUAUUUUAAAUUUUAAAUUUGACUUUUAUGAACAAUAUAUGUAUCAUGAGGAAAUUGAUGAGAAUUUUAUAUUUUUAAUUUUGACAAUAUGAGAAAAUUGAUUAUUGAAAUGAAUUAAUAUAUAGUUCAUUUUAUAAUGCGGGAAACUUUAUAGUGAAAGGAAUACAAUUUCUAUUGUUAUUGUAUUUUUGGUAAUAUGAGCUUUAAUUUUUAUCAAUAACAAGUAGUCAAAUCGAAUCUUAUGAAUUAUUAAAAUGAAAGUGGUGAUUUUGAGAUAUUUGUUCACAUGCAUAUUUGAUCUGUUGAAGUUAUAGAGCUCUUACUAUGAACAUCCAUGAGAAUAUAAAUUUGAUGUCUUAUGUGAUUAAAAAAAAUUUAAUCUGAAAUAUUUUGUCUUUGUGGUUGCCUAAGUGGCUGGUGAUUUGUGUUUUAAAUAUUGUUAUCUUUGUGGUUGCCUAAGUGGCUUGUGAUUUGUGUUUUAAAUAUUGUUAUCAUAGUGGUUACCUAAGUGGCUGGUGAUUUGUGUUUUAAAUAUUGUUAUCUUUGUGGUUGUCUAAGUGGCUGGUGAUUUGUGUUUUAAAUAUUGUUAUCUUUGUGGUUGUCUAAGUGGCUGGUGAUUUGUGUUUUAAAUAUUGUUAUAUUUGUGGUGGCCUAAGUGUCUGGUAAUUUGUGUGAUUGUCUAAGUGAGCGGUGACAUGUACCUUUUGAGUUAUCAUUUCAUGAUAUAUCAUAUGAAUCUUUGUGGAUGCAUGUGUGGUUGGUUAUAUCUAGAUCAUAUAUGUUUAAGAGCAUGCAUAACUUGCAUAUAUUUUAUUGUUAUUUUUAUUUUGAUAUAAUUAAUUGCUCUACGGUUGCUACUUGAUUUAUUUAGAUACACUUUUGAUAUAUCUUUGAGAACUAUUAAAGAAUCAAUUUCUUUAAAUCUUUUAUUACGAAAAGAUUUUAUAUUCAUAUUUUAUGGUUGUUAACUAUUAUUUGAUUUAAUUUUUGUUGUGGGAUGAACUAACCCCUUACACCAACAUUUAGGUACUAAUGAUCUCAAAGAGUAGCAUGAAUGAUGUUUGCUUGGUGCACGCGCGUGGAAAAAUGAGACUUUUACUUAAAAAGAAUGUUUUGUAUUACUAAAAUUUUUGUGUUGCAUUGUAAAGUUAUUUACUCUUCAUCAUUAACUUUUAGUAGAAAUGCGGAAGUGAGAUUUCAUUCGCUAGUAAAUAAUUGAACGUCAUUAAUUUCAGUCAACCUUACUUCUUUUGAAUUUCACUUAAAGAUAAUUUAUUUUAUUUUGGAG
RNAcentral lists this long non-coding RNA (2011 nucleotides) under Cicer arietinum (chickpea). RNAcentral describes it as "long non-coding RNA (CARI_LNC000334)". The record is from RNAcentral. Lineage: Eukaryota; Viridiplantae; Streptophyta; Magnoliopsida; Fabales; Fabaceae.